AGGGUAGCAAUACCGCUGACGACCGGCGCACGGGUGAGUAACGCGUAUGCAACCUGCCUAUAAACUGGGGGAAUAGCUCCCUGAAAGGGGAAUUAACACCGCAUAACACUAUUGAUUCGCAAUGGAUUAGUAGUUAAAUGUAGCGAUACAGGUUAUAGAUGGGCAUGCGUGACAUUAGCUAGUUGGUGAGGUAACGGCUCACCAAGGCUACGAUGUCUAGGGGUUCUGAGAGGAAGGUCCCCCCACACUGGUACUGAGACACGGACCAGACUCCUACGGGAGGCAGCAGUGAGGAAUAUUGGUCAAGUGGGCGCAAGCCUGAACCAGCCAUGUCGCGUGCAGGAAGAACUGCCCUAUGGGUUGUAAACUGCUUUUAUAGUAGAAGAAACACAUCUACGUGUAGAUGUCUGCCAGUAUACUAUGAAUAAGCAUCGGCUAACUCCGUGCCAGCCGCCGC
This 457-nucleotide ribosomal RNA is filed under the name uncultured bacterium. Its description in RNAcentral is "bacterial SSU rRNA". It matches the Rfam family "Bacterial small subunit ribosomal RNA", at positions 73 to 518 of the family's 1533-position model. The record is from RNAcentral.